UGUUUCGGCUAGGGGGUCAUCCCGACUUACCAACCCGAUGCAAACUGCGAAUACCGAAGAAUGUUAUCACGGGAGACACACGGCGGGUGCUAACGUCCGUCGUGAAGAGGGAAACAACCCAGACCGCCAGCUAAGGUCCCAAAGUCAUGGUUAAGUGGGAAACGAUGUGGGAAGGCACAGACAGCCAGGAUGUUGGCUUAGAAGCAGCCAUCAUUUAAAGAAAGCGUAAUAGCUCACUGGUCGAGUCGGCCUGCGCGGAAGAUGUAACGGGGCUAAACCAUGCACCGAAGCUGCGGCAGCGACACUAUGUGUUGUUGGGUAGGGGAGCGUUCUGUAAGCC
This 340-nucleotide ribosomal RNA is filed under the name Citrobacter freundii. RNAcentral describes it as "partial 23S ribosomal RNA". It matches the Rfam family "Bacterial large subunit ribosomal RNA", at positions 911 to 1249 of the family's 2925-position model. Lineage: Bacteria; Pseudomonadati; Pseudomonadota; Gammaproteobacteria; Enterobacterales; Enterobacteriaceae. RNAcentral also lists the same sequence under 2 other names. The record is from RNAcentral.